Molecule: ribosomal RNA, 424 nt
Filed under: uncultured bacterium
Lineage: Bacteria
Description: bacterial SSU rRNA
Rfam family: Bacterial small subunit ribosomal RNA
Source: RNAcentral
GGGGAAUAUUGGACAAUGGGCGCAAGCCUGAUCCAGCCACGCCGCGUGAGUGAUGAAGGCCUUCGGGUCGUAAAGCUCUGUGGGGAGGGACGAACCGCUGUCGGUUAAUACCCGGCAGCAUGACGGUACCUCCUUAGCAAGCACCGGCUAACUUCGUGCCAGCAGCCGCGGUAAUACGAAGGGUGCAAACGUUGCUCGGAAUUAUUGGGCGUAAAGCGCACGUAGGCGGCUUAGCAAGUUGGAUGUGAAAGCCCUCGGCUUAACCAAGGAAGUGCAUCCAAAACUGCUAAGCUUGAGUAGUUAAGAGGAUCGCGGAAUUCCCGGUGUAGAGGUGAAAUUCGUAGAUAUCGGGAGGAACACCAGUGGCGAAGGCGGCGAUCUGGGAACAUACUGACGCUGAGGUGCGAAAGCGUGGGGAGCAAAC